UAGGGGGACUGCCGGCGUAAGCCGGAGGAAGGAGGGGGCCACGGCAGGUCAGUAUGCCCCGAAACCCCGGGGCUGCACGCGAGCUGCAAUGGCGGGGACAGCGGGAUCCGACCCCGAAAGGGGGAGGUAAUCCCGUAAACCCCGCCCCAGUAGGGAUCGAGGGCUGCAACUCGCCCUCGUGAACGUGGAAUCCCUAGUAACCGCGUGUCACCAACGCGCGGUGAAUACGUCCCUGCCCCUUGCACACACCGCCCGUCGCGCCACCCGAGGGAGCCCCCAACGAGGCUCCUUCAUCCUUGGGUUACCCCAAGGAUGGGGGAGACGAGUUGGGGGCUCCCGAGGGGGGCGAAGUCGUAACAAGGUGGCCGUAGGGGAACCUGCGGCCGGAUCACCUCCU
RNAcentral lists this ribosomal RNA (397 nucleotides) under Vulcanisaeta sp. EB80. Its description in RNAcentral is "partial 16S ribosomal RNA". It matches the Rfam family "Archaeal small subunit ribosomal RNA", at positions 1097 to 1478 of the family's 1478-position model. Lineage: Archaea; Thermoproteati; Thermoproteota; Thermoprotei; Thermoproteales; Thermoproteaceae. The record is from RNAcentral.